Molecule: long non-coding RNA, 1719 nt
Organism: Gossypium arboreum
Lineage: Eukaryota; Viridiplantae; Streptophyta; Magnoliopsida; Malvales; Malvaceae
Exons: 2
Source: RefSeq, a predicted model, not a curated record
UCUCGUUUUAAGAGAUAUAUUUAUAUUUACCCUCUUAGUGGUUACUAGCUAUUCAAGAUGGUUUUGAAUAAAAGGAACGAAUAAUCCCAUACUCAAAGUAACCUGAAUUAAAACUUUGACUAGCAACAAAAUUCAAUUCUUUUAGAAAAAGUUUUAAAUUUUUUUUAUCGUUUUCUUCUGGGUUAUCUCUUCUGGGUGGAUAACGUAGAGGUUGGGAAUUUUUCAUUGCGGAUGAAGUUUUCAACACCGGUAGUGGGAUCAACCUCAUUGUUGUGUUGUUUUUAGAUUGUGUAAGAUUGCACAAUACGUUGGUUUGGAAACACGAGGCUACUGGGGAGUACUCUGUGAAGAGUGGGUAUCGAGCUUUAAUUACAGACCAAUUACAGAGCAACGACUACAUCUUUCUUACAGCUAAUAAUUACAGAGAUUUCUACAAUUUACCAUGUGCUAUGCAUAUUCCAGCUAUGCCUUAUUCUACCAACCUUUUUCAAAGAAGAUUAAAUGUUGAUGUAGUAUGCCCAUUUUGUAAGGAAGCUCCUGAGGAUUCUGACCAUUUGAUGUGGUCUUGUGGUAUUCUACAGCAGCUAUGGGCCUCUCUUAACAUCAUGAUUGCUCCGAGUGGGAUUACUUUGAAUUAUAAAGAUCAGUUUGUUAACACUUUUCAUGCAACAGAUGAAAGCAAUAGACAGGUUUAAUUAUUUCUUUAUAGGCUUUAUAGCAUAGAAAAAUGAAUUGAUUCAUGAAGGUCUUAAGUUCUCCAUGCAAGAUCUUCUGGGUUUUAUUCGAGGUUAUAGUCAAGAGAUCUCUUCGUGUCAAGUGAAUUUGAAGUCAUACUCUAAAUUUAUGGUAAAGGAUUUGUGGUGUCCCCCUAAUAUUGGUAUUAUUAAAUUAAAUUUUGAUGCUUCAUUUCAAAGAGAAUCUAGAACUUCUUUUGCAGCAGUUUUAGCUUGAAAUAAUAAAGGGAAAAUUAUGGGUGAGUGUACUUACCCUUCUGGGGAUGUGGUCGAUGUUUUUGUUGCUGAAGCUAGGGUGUGUAAAAGGGUUAUGCUUUUUACGUCUGAAAUAGGUUUUAAGAGGUUAUUGCUGGAAGGGGACUCUCUGUCGAUAUUCAAAAAGCUCAACUUAGAAGGGGAGAAUAGAUCUAUUAUUAGACCGAUUAUUUAUAAUAUUCGUAUACUUGAACGACAUUUUGAAGAAGUUUCUUACUGUUUUGUCCCAAGAGCAGUCAAUAGGGCCACUCAUACUUUGGCAUUAGAAGGAUGCCGACGACAACUCUCUUGUUUCUAGGUUAAUGAAGCUCCAGAUUCGGUGGGGAAGGUGGUGGCUGAGGAUUGGACGGCUUGGAUUCAAAAUUAUUGAGAUGGUUUUGUACGCUUUGAAGAUGGAGAAGGUUCUGUCGAAUAUCUAUGGCUGGGUUUCAAAGUUUUUUUUCUUUUCCUUUUUCGGCUUAACUGAGGAUCUGUUCUGGGGAAGUUGAAUUUUUGGCUGAUAACUUUCUGAAGACUUUUUGUAUUUGGUGAGGGGUAGUUUUCGUGCGUUAGUGGUUUUGUUGUUUUCCUGUGUGCUUUGUGUGCUGUUUAGGUUUCUUUUUCUACUUUUCUGUCUUUUCAUUUCUCUGUUGUUUAGAUUUUGUUCAUCCACUUCGAGCCUAGUAAUAUUAAUGAAUAUCAGCUUUUGUUGCAAAAAAUAAAUAAAUAAAUAAAUUACAUUGAUUUUGAA